This 251-nucleotide ribosomal RNA is filed under the name uncultured bacterium. RNAcentral's name for it is "partial 16S ribosomal RNA". It matches the Rfam family "Bacterial small subunit ribosomal RNA", at positions 524 to 775 of the family's 1533-position model. The record is from RNAcentral.
UACGGAGGGAGCUAGCGUUGUUCGGAAUUACUGGGCGUAAAGCGCACGUAGGCGGCUUUGUAAGUUAGAGGUGAAAGCCCGGGGCUCAACUCCGGAACUGCCUUUAAGACUGCAUCGCUUGAAUCCAGGAGAGGUGAGUGGAAUUCCGAGUGUAGAGGUGAAAUUCGUAGAUAUUCGGAAGAACACCAGUGGCGAAGGCGGCUCACUGACUGGUAUUGACGCUGAGGUGCGAAAGCGUGGGGAGCAACAGG